This 137-nucleotide unclassified non-coding RNA is filed under the name uncultured fungus. RNAcentral describes it as "sequence contains ITS1". Lineage: Eukaryota; Fungi. The record is from RNAcentral.
CCGAGUUUUUUACUCAAAACCCUGCGAACCUACCGUCCGAUGCUUCGGCGACCAGCCCUGGGGGGGGCAUUACGCGGUCGCCGACAGCACUCAAAAUCUCUGUCAGAGGUCUUCUGAAUCACAAUAAAAACAAAUCA